This 406-nucleotide ribosomal RNA is filed under the name uncultured bacterium. RNAcentral's name for it is "partial 16S ribosomal RNA". It matches the Rfam family "Bacterial small subunit ribosomal RNA", at positions 30 to 526 of the family's 1533-position model. The record is from RNAcentral.
AUUGAACGCUGGCGGCAGGCCUAACACAUACAAGUCGAGCGAGCGGCGGACGGUUGAGUAAUGUCUGGGAAACUGCCUGUUGGAGGGGGAUAACUACUGGAAACGGUAGCUAAUACCGCAUACCAUCAGAUUUCCCCAGAUGGGAUUAGCUAGUAGCUGGGGUAAUGGCUCACCUAGGCGACGAUCCCUAGCUGGGCUGAGAGGAUGACCAGCAACACUGGAACUGAGACACGGUCCAGACUCCGACGGGAGGCAGCAGAGGGGAAUAUUGGACAAUGGGCGCAAGCCUGAUACAGCAAUGCCGCGUGUGUGAAGAAGGCCUUCGGGUUGUAAAGCACUUUCAGCGGGGAGGCGUUACCCGCAGAAGAAGCACCGGCUAACUCCGUGCCAGCAGCCGCGGUAAUUC